This 121-nucleotide microRNA precursor is filed under the name Canis lupus familiaris (dog). RNAcentral's name for it is "miRNA (ENSCAFG00000059428.1)". The stretch from base 17 to 106 matches the Rfam family "mir-8799 microRNA precursor family". The record is from RNAcentral. Lineage: Eukaryota; Metazoa; Chordata; Mammalia; Carnivora; Canidae.
GGCCUCUGCCUGUCCCGGGGGGAGGCCGGAUCCUGGGCUGUGUCCCGGUGCCCUGUGCUCUAGGGCCUGCGCUGUUGGAUUCAUGCUCCCGGCCGCGCAGCCCCCUCCGGAGCCGCCGCCC